This is a long non-coding RNA of Lepisosteus oculatus (spotted gar), 693 nucleotides long. RefSeq lists it as uncharacterized. The record is from RefSeq and is a predicted model, not a curated record. Lineage: Eukaryota; Metazoa; Chordata; Actinopteri; Semionotiformes; Lepisosteidae.
GCGCAACCCUGGACCAGACACACCUGAGGCAGCAGAAAAUGUUUUGCCGGUGAGAAUUCAAAACAAGGUCAAAAUCGUGUGCUCCCAAGUGGCCCAGCCAGUAAAGGUGAUGUCUGAGCGCAGCUUUACGAUCCCAGGGUCGAGUCCGGGUUGUGUCGCUAGCCGACUGUAACCAGGAUUCUCCCAGCCCUGGCAUGUAACUGGGUGGACACCCAGACUGACAGACCCGGCCCUGUCCGGUCAUCACGCGCAGUGAAGUUUACUGGCCCAGGCGCUGGGCUGGAGCUCAGAGAGCACUGUGGCAGGCUGUGGGACCCGGGCCAAUCUGAAAGAAUGGCUGUUCAUGUGAACACUGCUGCCGAUUCAGCACAGAAACGCUGCCGGGAGCAUGCAUUACAUGGCUUAAUGAAAAAAGCAUGCUCCUAUUUCUAUUAACACUCAACCAAGACAUUGCAUUCAAUUAAAGAUGCUUUCCGCAGGAAGACAAUCAUAUGUAAAACAUUUCACUUCUAAUGUAAUUGCAUCUGCAUAAGCACAUGCCUCGGCACAAAGUGGAAUGAUAGACAUGGUUAAUGACAGCUUUCUUACCCUGUCUGUUGGAGCACCUUCAAGAGGAAAAGCCUUUAGAUCUGGUCUUUGAAUUUGAUCUGGUCUUUGAUCUAUGAACUGGCUUCAUUACUCUGUUCUCCUCCC